ACAAAGGAGGCGAGCCUGUGAAGGUAAGCGAACCCCAAAAAUAACGUCCCAGUUCGGAUUGCAGUCUGCAACUCGCCUGCAUGAAGUCGGAAUUGCUAGUAAUCGCAGAUCAGCAUGCUGCGGUGAAUACGUUCCCGGGCCUUGUACACACCGCCCGUCACACCAUGGGAGUCGGUAACACCCGAAGUCGGUAGCCUAACCGUAAGGAGGGCGCCGCCGAAGGUGGGAUUGGUGACUGGGGUGAAGUCGUAACAAGGUAUC
This 261-nucleotide ribosomal RNA is filed under the name uncultured bacterium. Its description in RNAcentral is "partial 16S ribosomal RNA". It matches the Rfam family "Bacterial small subunit ribosomal RNA", at positions 1239 to 1500 of the family's 1533-position model. The record is from RNAcentral.